GAUGAACGCUGGCGGCGUGCCUAAUACAUGCAAGUCGAGCGAACAGACGAGGAGCUUGCUCCUUUGACGUUAGCGGCGGACGGGUGAGUAACACGUGGGUAACCUACCUAUAAGACUGGGAUAACUUCGGGAAACCGGAGCUAAUACCGGAUAAUAUUUCGAACCGCAUGGUUCGAUAGUGAAAGAUGGCUCCGCUAUCACUUAUAGAUGGACCUGCGCCGUAUUAGCUAGUUGGUAAGGUAACAGCUUACCAAGGCAACGAUACGUAGCCGACCUGAGAGGGUGAUCGGCCACACUGGAACUGAGACACGGUCCAGACUCCUACGGGAGGCAGCAGUAGGGAAUCUUCCGCAAUGGGCGAAAGCCUGACGGAGCAACGCCGCGUGAGUGAUGAAGGUCUUCGGAUCGUAAAACUCUGUUAUUAGGGAAGAACAAACGUGUAAGUAACUGUGCACGUCUUGACGGUACCUAAUCAGAAAGCCACGGCUAACUACGUGCCAGCAGCCGCGGUAAUACGUAGGUGGCAAGCGUUAUCCGGAAUUAUUGGGCGUAAAGCGCGCGUAGGCGGUUUUUUAAGUCUGAUGUGAAAGCCCACGGCUCAACCGUGGAGGGUCAUUGGAAACUGGAAAACUUGAGUGCAGAAGAGGAAAGUGGAAUUCCAUGUGUAGCGGUGAAAUGCGCAGAGAUAUGGAGGAACACCAGUGGCGAAGGCGACUUUCUGGUCUGUAACUGACGCUGAUGUGCGAAAGCGUGGGGAUCAAACAGGAUUAGAUACCCUGGUAGUCCACGCCGUAAACGAUGAGUGCUAAGUGUUAGGGGGGUUUCCGCCCCUUAGUGCUGCAGCUAACGCAUUAAGCACUCCGCCUGGGGAGUACGACCGCAAGGUUGAAACUCAAAGGAAUUGACGGGGACCCGCACAAGCGGUGGAGCAUGUGGUUUAAUUCGAAGCAACGCGAAGAACCUUACCAAAUCUUGACAUCCUUUGCUCCUUCUAGAGAUAGAAGUUUCCCCUUCGGGGGACAAAGUGACAGGUGGUGCAUGGUUGUCGUCAGCUCGUGUCGUGAGAUGUUGGGUUAAGUCCCGCAACGAGCGCAACCCUUAAGCUUAGUUGCCAUCAUUAAGUUGGGCACUCUAAGUUGACUGCCGGUGACAAACCGGAGGAAGGUGGGGAUGACGUCAAAUCAUCAUGCCCCUUAUGAUUUGGGCUACACACGUGCUACAAUGGACAGUACAAAGGGCAGCGAAACCGCGAGGUCAAGCAAAUCCCAUAAAGUUGUUCUCAGUUCGGAUUGUAGUCUGCAACUCGACUACAUGAAGCUGGAAUCGCUAGUAAUCGUAGAUCAGCAUGCUACGGUGAAUACGUUCCCGGGUCU
RNAcentral lists this ribosomal RNA (1373 nucleotides) under uncultured bacterium. Its description in RNAcentral is "bacterial SSU rRNA". It matches the Rfam family "Bacterial small subunit ribosomal RNA", at positions 28 to 1381 of the family's 1533-position model. The record is from RNAcentral.